AAGGGAAAGAAAGAAUUGAAAAUCAUGAUCAGGAAAGUGGAUGACAUCGGCAGUGUAAAACAGUAAUGAAAAUUGUUAGUACUAUCCCCCCACAGCGGUGGCAACCAAAAACGUCUCCACACUGCGAAAUAUCCCGGAGGAGGCAAUCUUGCCACCUGUUAAGAACCACAGACUCUAACGAAAUGAGAGAAGAAUUGAUUGGAUGCCGGCUUAGGCCCGGAAGUUAGGAUUCUCCUGGGCUGCGCGAGCGAUGCUCCCCAAGGUCUUCCCGCAGGGACUGCUGUGGGCGAGGAUCUUCCCUAAUUGUUUCCUGCCUCUUUCUUCUCUUCCUGCUUGUCACUGGCCCACACACUCAUCCUACGAAAAGGAAUGCUUUCUUUUUGCUUCUCAUGAGACCACUAUCAAAGCAACCAUCUGGGAGCCUAAUAUAUACACUAAGAAGUGUUUUAUAAUGCAGUGAUACAUUAAAUCUGAAUGUAAACACUCAGGAAUCAUUAUCUCUGACUUUGUUGUACAGAUAAAUGUUCACAGUGGCCCUUGAUGUUGACCUCCUUGUUUAUAGGACCAUUUAUAUGCCAAGUACUUUCAUCCUUACAAAAUUCUGAAUGACAAUUUUUAUUUUUCACAUUAGCAUCCAGGGUUGAAUUGUGGCCUCUUAUUCAUGUGUUGAAGUCCUAACCACAGUACUUCAGGAUGUGACUUAAUUUGGAAACAAGGUCAUCGCAGAUGUAAUUGGUUAAGAUAAGGCGAUUUGGAGGAAGGUGGCCGUUAUCCAAUAUGAUUGCUCUUCGUACAGAAAGGGGAAACUUGAAUGCAGAAACACACAGAGGGACAGCCCUAUGUAAAGAUGAAGGCAGAUAUCAGGAUGAUGCAUUUACGAGCCAACAGAUACCCAAAGCUGCCAAAAAAUCACCAGAAACAUGGAACCAUGGGGGACCGACAUGGAACUGAUUUGCUCUCAGAAGAAACUGACAUCUUGAUCUUGGACUUCUAGCUUCCAGAGCUGUGAGACAACAAAAUGUUGUUAUUCCAAAUCAUCCAUGUAUGAUGCUUCGUGAUGGAAGCCACAGGAAACC
Long non-coding RNA from Suricata suricatta (meerkat), 1076 nucleotides. RefSeq lists it as uncharacterized. The transcript has 3 exons. The record is from RefSeq and is a predicted model, not a curated record. NCBI's taxonomy places the organism in Eukaryota, Metazoa, Chordata, Mammalia, Carnivora, Herpestidae.